UGCUUGCACUUUGGCAGACUGAGUGGCGGACGGGUGAGUAACGCGUGGAUAACCUGCCUUAUACAGGGGGAUAACAGUUGGAAACGACUGCUAAUACCGCAUAAGCGCACAGGAUUGCAUGAUCUGGUGUGAAAAACUCCGGUGGUAUAAGAUGGACCCGCGUCUGAUUAGCUAGUUGGCAGGGCAACGGCCUACCAAGGCGACGAUCAGUAGCCGACCUGAGAGGAAGGUCCCCACAUUGGUACUGAGACACGGACCAAACUCC
Molecule: ribosomal RNA, 265 nt
Filed under: uncultured Roseburia sp.
Lineage: Bacteria; Bacillati; Bacillota; Clostridia; Lachnospirales; Lachnospiraceae
Description: partial 16S ribosomal RNA
Rfam family: Bacterial small subunit ribosomal RNA
Source: RNAcentral